RNAcentral lists this ribosomal RNA (465 nucleotides) under Vreelandella stevensii. RNAcentral describes it as "partial 16S ribosomal RNA". It matches the Rfam family "Bacterial small subunit ribosomal RNA", at positions 338 to 795 of the family's 1533-position model. Lineage: Bacteria; Pseudomonadati; Pseudomonadota; Gammaproteobacteria; Oceanospirillales; Halomonadaceae. The record is from RNAcentral.
CCUACGGGAGGCAGCAGUGGGGAAUAUUGGACAAUGGGGGGAACCCUGAUCCAGCCAUGCCGCGUGUGUGAAGAAGGCCCUCGGGUUGUAAAGCACUUUCAGUGAGGAAGAAGGCCUGGUGGUUAAUACCCAUCAGGAAAGACAUCACUCACAGAAGAAGCACCGGCUAACUCCGUGCCAGCAGCCGCGGUAAUACGGAGGGUGCGAGCGUUAAUCGGAAUUACUGGGCGUAAAGCGCGCGUAGGUGGCUUGAUAAGCCGGUUGUGAAAGCCCCGGGCUCAACCUGGGAACGGCAUCCGGAACUGUCAAGCUAGAGUGCAGGAGAGGAAGGUAGAAUUCCCGGUGUAGCGGUGAAAUGCGUAGAGAUCGGGAGGAAUACCAGUGGCGAAGGCGGCCUUCUGGACUGACACUGACACUGAGGUGCGAAAGCGUGGGUAGCAAACAGGAUUAGAUACCCUUGUAGUC